AUCGCUUCCCGGCCUUCUGGCUAAGAUCAAGUGUAGUAUCUCUUCUUAUCAGUUUCAUGCCGGUUCCCGAAUGACGCUGGUUUUGGGCUGUUGGGAAUGGGUGCUGCAUGGAGGGGGCAGGGGUACAGGGGUGUUCCGGGGCUGGUUCUGAGGAAUCAGCUCGACGGUUGCUCUGAUGUGACCUGUU
Molecule: small nuclear RNA, 187 nt
Organism: Hyla sarda
Lineage: Eukaryota; Metazoa; Chordata; Amphibia; Anura; Hylidae
Product: U2 spliceosomal RNA
Exons: 1
Source: RefSeq, a predicted model, not a curated record